GGCCCUUGUGUAUUACAUUUGCAUUUCCUGUAUACCUAUCUUGGCUGCUCUAUUCACUACCUUUUUAUACCUAUCCAUUCUUUUUCUCUUUUUUUCUAAAGUUUUGUUCCCUUUGAAGACUCUUGCUCUUAAAACAAGGAGUAUCCAAAUUCAUCACUUAAAAGUCAAUCUUCCUACAGGUUUCAUCAUGGAAUUUUUGAAUCUAUUCUGAUUGCACUAGUUAUCCUUUAGUGAAACUAUUUUUAUUUCACAGACUUAGAGUCUCUCGAACUUGGUAUGCAACUCUGGGCAAAAGCAUUUGAAUGUGUGUUUUUCAUUUUGAUUAAGAAAUGAGAGCACUUUGAAGAUACAUCCAUGAUGCUGGCUACCCGUAAAGAAAAUAAACUGAGUGUCAAUGGAACAGACAGAGAAUCAGAGAACAAAAGAAAGUCAAGAGAUUUACCCAAGAGAGAAUGGUAGCAGAAACAGACUCGGG
Molecule: long non-coding RNA, 475 nt
Filed under: Homo sapiens (human)
Lineage: Eukaryota; Metazoa; Chordata; Mammalia; Primates; Hominidae
Description: non-protein coding lnc-UTRN-2:1
Source: RNAcentral